UACGUAGGGUGCGAGCGUUAAUCGGAAUUACUGGGCGUAAAGCGUGCGCAGGCGGCUUCUCAAGUCAGGGGUGAAAGCCCAGAGCUCAACUCUGGAAUUGCCUUUGAGACUGAGUGGCUUGAGUACGAGAGAGGUGAGUGGAAUUCCCAGUGUAGAGGUGAAAUUCGUAGAUAUUGGGAAGAACACCGGUGGCGAAGGCGGCUCACUGGCUCGUAACUGACGCUCAUGCACGACAGCGUGGGGAUCAAACAGG
This 253-nucleotide ribosomal RNA is filed under the name uncultured bacterium. Its description in RNAcentral is "partial 16S ribosomal RNA". It matches the Rfam family "Bacterial small subunit ribosomal RNA", at positions 524 to 776 of the family's 1533-position model. The record is from RNAcentral.